GACGAACGCUGGCGGCGUGCUUAACACAUGCAAGUCGAACGGAAAGGCCCUGCUUUUGUGGGGUGCUCGAGUGGCGAACGGGUGAGUAACACGUGAGUAACCUGCCCUUGACUUUGGGAUAACUUCAGGAAACUGGGGCUAAUACCGGAUAGGAGCUCCUGCUGCAUGGUGGGGGUUGGAAAGUUUCGGCGGUUGGGGAUGGACUCGCGGCUUAUCAGCUUGUUGGUGGGGUAGUGGCUUACCAAGGCUUUGACGGGUAGCCGGCCUGAGAGGGUGACCGGCCACAUUGGGACUGAGGUACGGCCCAGACUCCUACGGGAGGCAGCAGUGGGGAAUAUUGCACAAUGGGCGGAAGCCUGAUGCAGCAACGCCGCGUGCGGGAUGACGGCCUUCGGGUUGUAAACCGCUUUCGCCUGUGACGAAGCGUGAGUGACGGUAAUGGGUAAAGAAGCACCGGCUAACUACGUGCCAGCAGCCGCGGUGAUACGUAGGGUGCGAGCGUUGUCCGGAUUUAUUGGGCGUAAAGGGCUCGUAGGUGGUUGAUCGCGUCGGAAGUGUAAUCUUGGGGCUUAACCCUGAGCGUGCUUUCGAUACGGGUUGACUUGAGGAAGGUAGGGGAGAAUGGAAUUCCUGGUGGAGCGGUGGAAUGCGCAGAUAUCAGGAGGAACACCAGUGGCGAAGGCGGUUCUCUGGGCCUUUCCUGACGCUGAGGAGCGAAAGCGUGGGGAGCGAACAGGCUUAGAUACCCUGGUAGUCCACGCUGUAAACGGUGGGUACUAGGUGUGGGGUCCAUUCCACGGGUUCCGUGCCGUAGCUAACGCUUUAAGUACCCCGCCUGGGGAGUACGGCCGCAAGGCUAAAACUCAAAGGAAUUGACGGGGCCCCGCACAAGCGGCGGAGCAUGCGGAUUAAUUCGAUGCAACGCGUAGAACCUUACCUGGGUUUGACAUGGAUCGGGAGUGCUCAGAGAUGGGUGUGCCUCUUUUGGGGUCGGUUCACAGGUGGUGCAUGGCUGUCGUCAGCUCGUGUCGUGAGAUGUUGGGUUAAGUCCCGCAACGAGCGCAACCCUUGUUCACUGUUGCCAGCACGUUAUGGUGGGGACUCAGUGGAGACCGCCGGGGUCAACUCGGAGGAAGGUGGGGAUGACGUCAAGUCAUCAUGCCCCUUAUGUCCAGGGCUUCACGCAUGCUACAAUGGCUGGUACAGAGAGUGGCGAGCCUGUGAGGGUGAGCGAAUCUCGGAAAGCCGGUCUCAGUUCGGAUUGGGGUCUGCAACUCGACCUCAUGAAGUCGGAGUCGCUAGUAAUCGCAGAUCAGCAACGCUGCGGUGAAUACGUUCCCGGGACU
This 1346-nucleotide ribosomal RNA is filed under the name uncultured bacterium. Its description in RNAcentral is "partial 16S ribosomal RNA". It matches the Rfam family "Bacterial small subunit ribosomal RNA", at positions 28 to 1381 of the family's 1533-position model. The record is from RNAcentral.